Molecule: non-coding RNA, 148 nt
Organism: Enterococcus termitis
Lineage: Bacteria; Bacillati; Bacillota; Bacilli; Lactobacillales; Enterococcaceae
Source: Rfam
UUAUCCUUUAAGAGUAGUCCCGUGAGGCUAAGAAGGUAACAUGCAGAAUCUACUAAGUGCGCUUAGUAUCGAGCUGCGUGUAAUGGAUGGUAUCUUUGUAUAGAUUGUUCAAUCCUCCUACCUAAUUACGGGUAGGAGGAUUUUUGUU